UUAUUUCGAUGAGGAUAAAAAGCAGACGGGCGGUCUGAACUGAUGCCAUGUUGAUUGUCUGUAUAA
This 66-nucleotide small nuclear RNA is filed under the name Daucus carota subsp. sativus. RNAcentral's name for it is "sRNA DCAR_sn00113". Lineage: Eukaryota; Viridiplantae; Streptophyta; Magnoliopsida; Apiales; Apiaceae. The record is from RNAcentral.